This 494-nucleotide ribosomal RNA is filed under the name uncultured bacterium. RNAcentral's name for it is "partial 16S ribosomal RNA". It matches the Rfam family "Bacterial small subunit ribosomal RNA", at positions 28 to 507 of the family's 1533-position model. The record is from RNAcentral.
GACGAACGCUGGCGGCGUGCCUAAUACAUGCAAGUAGAACGCUGAAGGAGGAGCUUGCUCUUCUGGAUGAGUUGCGAACGGGUGAGUAACGCGUAUGUAACCUGCCUGGUAGCGGGGGAUAACUAUUGGAAACGCUAGCUAAUACCGCAUAACAGUAGAUGUUGCAUGACAUUUGCUUAAAAAGUGCAGUUGCACCACUACCAGAUGGACCUGCGUUGUAUUAGCUAGUUGGUGGGGUAACGGCUCACCAAGGCGACGAUACAUAGCCGACCGGAGAGGGGGUCCGGCACCACUGGACCUGGACAACGCUCAAGCCCCUUACGGAAGGAACCAGAGGGAAACCUCGGGCAUUGAGCGAAGUCCUAACGGGGCAACGCGCCUGGGUGAAGGAGGUUCUUGGAUCCGUAAGACUCUGUUUUUGGGAAGAACCAGUUGUAGAAGGGAAAGUGCACGUUGUGACGGUACCUAAUCAGAAAGCGACGGCUAACUACGUG